Long non-coding RNA from Oreochromis niloticus (Nile tilapia), 634 nucleotides. RefSeq lists it as uncharacterized. The transcript has 3 exons. Lineage: Eukaryota; Metazoa; Chordata; Actinopteri; Cichliformes; Cichlidae. The record is from RefSeq and is a predicted model, not a curated record.
UCCAGGAGUACACAACGGGAAGGUUUUAUUGAAUUUUGACAGCUUGCUGCUUUUGUACAUUACAUUUUUGUACAUUACAUGGGUGAAACAUGAGGGGACUUUGUGAGGAGGAGGGUUUCUAAAGAGGUUCUGCCCAAGCUGAGCGCCUCUCUGGCACGGCAGGCUCCGAUAAAGCGCCAAGGCUGGGCCUGUCUACACACACACCCUGGCCUACAAACUGCAGCUGGCUGUAUUGCAGGGGCUGGGCUGACUGUGCCAGAGACUGGAUCUGGCUGAAGCAGACCUAGAUGCUGUUUGUGAAGCCUGUCUACCCUACCUGAGCUCCAGACAACCCAUCAGACUGCAAGAAGCCUGUUUAAGUGUGUUCCGACACUUAAUCCAGGUGGAUCCGGACACCUUCUGGUUUACUCUCAAUGAGCUGCACUGCCGUCCUCUUACAUCCCACACCACCCCGACCUCCUGCCGGUGCAGCUGAACGGCACGGGCAGGCCGAGAGACGAGUUCUCGGACAACGUGUUCAAACUGCUCAAGGAGGAGUUUGGCUCCGUUACUGAGACAGUUAACCAGCCAGUCAGCUAAUGAGCUGCUGCUUGAUGAAAUUGACUCACCUCACAAACGGACGGCUUAUUGAACC